RNAcentral lists this unclassified non-coding RNA (84 nucleotides) under Chryseobacterium oranimense. RNAcentral describes it as "Flavo-1 RNA". The record is from RNAcentral. Lineage: Bacteria; Pseudomonadati; Bacteroidota; Flavobacteriia; Flavobacteriales; Weeksellaceae.
UCAUAGCCCCGAUAGCAGUGGUUACCCCGCAGCAGAAGGGCUGAGGUUGGACGCGAGGAGUAUGAGCGGAUAGCGGGAAAUAGC